UACUUUUGUCGCCAGAGGACUGCGUCUGGAGGAGGUGCGCCUAAGCAUCCCGCGGAGCAGGUUGACUGAAGUGGAGCGUGGAGCCCGGCGCAGGAGGCGGGACUCUCGGAGGGUACAACACAGAAGAGAAAAAAUGGCCAUUGUCCAUUUAGAAGGGAAGUUUGAGGUACCCGGGGAGUCCUUGAGAAGGCACCAGAGCAGCAGUUCCAGGCAGUUGUGAGCUGCCAGAUAUGGGCUCAUGGAACAAAACUGGGAUCCUUUGCCACCGCAGAUUUCAUUUUGUUUUGUUUUUAGACAGGGUUUUGAGUAGCCCAGGUGAUCCUGGUAAGCCACUUAGGGGGAAGCUGUCCUCACCAUCCCAGAUUUAGUACACAUGGAGAGCUUUGCAGUCUUCAAAGGGAGUUGAAGCCUGCCUCAGCAGUCAUGUCUCAUGCACACCUGCAUCCCUAGCCCAGGCCCCUCUCCUAGGGAGGCCCUUUCCUAGACGUCUUUAUCAAAGGGUAAAACCUUGAAGACAUUUAAUCCCUACUGUAAAGCAGUUCUCGGUACUUUCCCACCCCUAGCCUGACCUCCAUCUUCCUCUCUGUGCUCAGUCUAUAAAAUGACGGGAAGUUUUGGUUCAGUGUUCUCUUGGCAUUGAGAUGAUUUCCCCCAUCAGGGUUGAUUUUCUCUCACAGUGGGAUUCCCUGGAGGAAAUUCAACAGGGAAGGGGGCGGAGCUGGCACUUUAUCCCAAAUUGCCCUUUGCUAAUACUACAUGGUUAAUAAACAGUUAAAAGUUUAGCUGUGACUUCCAUGUCGGCUCCUUGUCUUAAACCUGGUAGCCCUGCAGCUUCAGGCCCUCCCACUCUUGGGCAUAGGUAUUCUGUGCCUGUAUCAGUUAUGCCAAAUACUUGGUGUAAUAAUGUUGUGUAAAUCCUCUAUGUCGCUACUGAUCGAUUUGUUUAUUUUGUCAACCUAUGCUUUUACAUUCUGAAUGAAAGAUGUUACAAUUUCCUCUUUUAAAGUAGCUAUGUAUGUGUGUGGUAGGAUGGGGGGUGUGGACACAGGUGUGGGCCUGCCAUGGGGUACACAUGGAAGUCGAACAGCCUGAGGACUUAGUUCCUGCUUCCCUCUACGCGGGCUCUGGGAUCCAGAUCAUGUUGCUGGGCUUGGGAGUUCCUUUAGCUGAUGAGCCCACGAGUUCUAACUGUAGAGCUGUCUCUUCCGUUAGUUUUCUUGAUUUUUGAAAUUUGAAUUUUUGAUAUUUGAAAUACGGUCGGGGUCUCUGGGUAACAAGUUGAUCCUGUUUGUUGCUUACUUGUUGGUGACCCGGUGGGUUUCACUGGGGUUGCGUAUAAGAACAGGCAACCAUAAACUGCUUAUAGAUCCCCAAGAAAAGGUGGGGAAUCGAUCUUCUUUAAGUCUAGCAUUAUCUUACUUUUGUUUUUAUAAUUAAAGUGUAUUUCCUAAGUUUUAUCACUCCCCUGGUUUUAAACGUUUAAAUUGUUGCUAGUAUAAUUUACUUUAAAGAUUUAUUUAAUGUAUAUAAGUACAUCAUUGCUCUCUUUAGACGCACCAGAAGAGGGGCAUCAGAUCCCAUUAC
Mastomys coucha (southern multimammate mouse) is the source of this 1584-nucleotide long non-coding RNA. RefSeq lists it as uncharacterized. The transcript is spliced from 4 exons. NCBI's taxonomy places the organism in Eukaryota, Metazoa, Chordata, Mammalia, Rodentia, Muridae. The record is from RefSeq and is a predicted model, not a curated record.